GAUGGUAUAGUUCAGUGGUAGAACAUGUGCUUGUCAUGCACAAGGUCCUGGGUUCAAUCACCAGUGCCUCU
RNAcentral lists this transfer RNA (71 nucleotides) under Camelus bactrianus (Bactrian camel). It matches the Rfam family "tRNA". From Rfam's summary of the family: Transfer RNA (tRNA) molecules are approximately 80 nucleotides in length. Their secondary structure includes four short double-helical elements and three loops (D, anti-codon, and T loops). Further hydrogen bonds mediate the characteristic L-shaped molecular structure. tRNAs have two regions of fundamental functional importance: the anti-codon, which is responsible for specific mRNA codon recognition, and the 3' end, to which the tRNAs corresponding amino acid is attached (by aminoacyl-tRNA synthetases). tRNAs cope with the degeneracy of the genetic code in two manners: having more than one tRNA (with a specific anti-codon) for a particular amino acid; and 'wobble' base-pairing, i.e. permitting non-standard base-pairing at the 3rd anti-codon position. Lineage: Eukaryota; Metazoa; Chordata; Mammalia; Artiodactyla; Camelidae. RNAcentral also lists the same sequence under 2 other names. The record is from Rfam by way of RNAcentral.